ACGGGGCUAGAUCUUCAAUGUAGGAUCAGGAUUUUGGUUUGAAUUGAUUUUUUUUUAAAAAUAGUGCUAAGCAGAUGCUACACUGUAAGAAGAGGCAACAGAAUCAAAAACUGAAAGAUUGUUACUAAAACCAAUGAAGAGCUGCAGAGAGUGGAGACCCAGCAAAGCAAACAAAUGAAUCCUGAAAAGGAUCCCCAAAGGAGGUGUAAGGAUCCGGGACUCCAAUGUCUGCCAGAAGCUUCAGCCACCUUCACAGGUUAGAGUUCACCGUCCAUUGCGGAGGUGAAGACCGGAUGAGAGCUGCUGGAUUGACCUUGAUGUGCCAUGUCCUUGUGUGGAUGAAGGACCUCCAUCUCAGGGAUGGCCAGCAGCAGAUGUAACACGUGUGUCCAGGAAUGGGCUAAAUAACCUACAU
Molecule: long non-coding RNA, 415 nt
Organism: Mauremys reevesii (Reeves's turtle)
Lineage: Eukaryota; Metazoa; Chordata; Testudines; Geoemydidae
Exons: 3
Source: RefSeq, a predicted model, not a curated record